ACAGCAGCAGCCGCGGGAAUACAGAGGGUGCGAGCGUUAAUCGGAUUUACUGGGCGUAAAGCGUGCGUAGGCGGCUUCUUAAGUCGGAUGUGAAAUCCCUGAGCUUAACUUAGGAAUUGCAUUCGAUACUGGGAAGCUAGAGUAUGGGAGAGGAUGGUAGAAUUCCAGGUGUAGCGGUGAAAUGCGUAGAGAUCUGGAGGAAUACCGAUGGCGAAGGCAGCCAUCUGGCCUAAUACUGACGCUGAGGUACGAAAGCAUGGGGAGCAAACAGGAUUAGAGACCCCCGUAGUCCCUGUCUCUUAUAC
Molecule: ribosomal RNA, 305 nt
Filed under: uncultured bacterium
Lineage: Bacteria
Description: partial 16S ribosomal RNA
Rfam family: Bacterial small subunit ribosomal RNA
Source: RNAcentral